UACGGGGGGAGCAAGCGUUGUUCGGAUUUACUGGGCGUAAAGGGCGCGUAGGCGGUAGCACAAGUCAGUUGUGAAAUCUCCGGGCUUAACUCGGAAAGGUCAACUGAUACUGUGCGACUAGAGUGCAGAAGGGGCAACUGGAAUUCUCGGUGUAGCGGUGAAAUGAGUAGAUAUCGAGAGGAACACCUGCGGCGAAGGCGGGUUGCUGGGCUGACACUGACGCUGAGGCGCGAAAGCCAGGGGAGCAAACAGG
This 253-nucleotide ribosomal RNA is filed under the name uncultured bacterium. RNAcentral describes it as "partial 16S ribosomal RNA". It matches the Rfam family "Bacterial small subunit ribosomal RNA", at positions 524 to 776 of the family's 1533-position model. The record is from RNAcentral.